UCAUGUUCUUAUAACUAUCAUGUCUCAUUCCAAUAAUUUCUUGCAAGUUAGUUAGGAAAAUUCCAUAGGACAUUGAACUUAGUUGGUCUUUGCUCGAUCUAUCUUAGAUGGCUCAGCAUAUCCCAACCAAUGCCUUCCAUACUCGGCCUAUAAGGCAUCAUUUAGAUCCUAUGUUGAGCCAUACAUGAAAUUAUGCAAUCUAUUUUCCCUAGAUGGAAUUAGAGGGUAUUAAGGUUUAUGCUUUUAAUUACUAUUUUAGUUUGCCAAUUCUAGAUGCUUGGUUUGAAAACUCUUCAACAAUAUCUUGUCC
This 310-nucleotide long non-coding RNA is filed under the name Elaeis guineensis (African oil palm). RNAcentral describes it as "long non-coding RNA (EGUI_LNC061060)". The record is from RNAcentral. Lineage: Eukaryota; Viridiplantae; Streptophyta; Magnoliopsida; Arecales; Arecaceae.